CACAAGCUGUUUCAGCCCCAGCUGUUGCAAGCAGGAUGAGCAAGCCAGAAUAUUCACCUGGCCAUCCACUCCAGUAGUGACAAGAAUUCCCGUCUUCUUCCCUUUCACUCUGCACUGGGAAGUAUGAGAAGAUGAUCAGAAGAGGAGCAGAAAGUACUCCAUUAUCCAGCACCAACCAUCUGAAGACUUUGGUGUCAGGCCCCUCUUCUGUAAGGCUGCUGCUGUUGGCUGGGGUUCCAUUCCAGGCCCUAUUUGCCUGGUCCUUCCCGCACUUGAAGGUGUCACGCAUGGAGGCUGCAGAACAGCACAGAUGGCUGCCUGCUCCUUCCUCUGGGAUCUCUGUCCACACAGAGCACUGACCUGAUGCCAGUGGAAACACUACUGUGUAAGGUUGUACAGAUCUAUGGAAAAGCCAAGCUGCCCUGACAGGGUAGCACAACCUCUCACUGCCUCCCUUGGCUGCCAGUAGGAGCUCCCCUUUCCCUCUGUGGAUCUCAGGCAAAAGAAGAUAAUGCUCUUUCUGGUGACCAAUCACUCAGUUGGAUAACUUGAGUUGACAUAUGGAUACCAUGCCAGAAAAGGACUCUAACUUCAGAAAUCAAAACCAACUGGGACUAUUAGGUGAUGUAACAGCAGUAACUGAGUCUCCUUAAUGACCAAGUAGGGACUGGGAG
Molecule: long non-coding RNA, 674 nt
Organism: Homo sapiens (human)
Lineage: Eukaryota; Metazoa; Chordata; Mammalia; Primates; Hominidae
Exons: 6
Source: RefSeq, a predicted model, not a curated record